UAGGGAAUCUUCGGCAAUGGACGAAAGUCUGACCGAGCAACGCCGCGUGCGUGAAGAAGGUUUUCGGAUCGUAAAACUCUGUUGUUAGAGAAGAACAAGGACGUUAGUAACUGAACGUCCCCUGACGGUAUCUAACCAGAAAGCCACGGCCAACUACGUGCCAGCAGCCGCGGUAAUACGUAGGUGGCAAGCGUUGUCCGGAUUUAUUGGGCGUAAAGCGAGCGCAGGCGGUUUCUUAAGUCUGAUGUGAAAGCCCCCGGCUCAACCGGGGAGGGUCAUUGGAAACUGGGAGACUUGAGUGCAGAAGAGGAGAGUGGAAUUCCAUGUGUAGCGGUGAAAUGCGUAGAUAUAUGGAGGAACACCAGUGGCGAAGGCGGCUCUCUGGUCUGUAACUGACGCUGAGGCUCGAAAGCGUGGGGAGCAAACAGG
This 429-nucleotide ribosomal RNA is filed under the name Gemmatimonadota bacterium. RNAcentral's name for it is "Gemmatimonadetes bacterium partial 16S ribosomal RNA". It matches the Rfam family "Bacterial small subunit ribosomal RNA", at positions 355 to 776 of the family's 1533-position model. The record is from RNAcentral. Lineage: Bacteria; Pseudomonadati; Gemmatimonadota.